CCUACGGGGGGCAGCAGUGGGGAAUAUUGGGCAAUGGGCGCAAGCCUGACCCAGCAACGCCGCGUGAAGGAAGAAGGCUUUCGGGUUGUAAACUUCUUUUCUGAGGGACGAAGAAAGUGACGGUACCUCAGGAAUAAGCCACGGCUAACUACGUGCCAGCAGCCGCGGUAAUACGUAGGUGGCGAGCGUUAAUCGGAAUUACUGGGCGUAAAGCGCUCGUAGGCGGUAUGUCAAGUCAAGGGUGAAAUCCCCGCGCUCAACGUGGGAACUGCCUUUGAAACUGGCAAACUGGAGUGUGUGAGAGGAUAGUGGAAUUCCAGGUGUAGGAGUGAAAGCCGUAGAUAUCUGGAGGAACAUCAGUGGCGAAGGCGACUAUCUGGCACAUAACUGACGCUGAGGAGCGAAAGCGUGGGUAGCAAACAGGAUUAGAUACCCGAGUAGUC
RNAcentral lists this ribosomal RNA (443 nucleotides) under uncultured bacterium. RNAcentral describes it as "partial 16S ribosomal RNA". It matches the Rfam family "Bacterial small subunit ribosomal RNA", at positions 338 to 795 of the family's 1533-position model. The record is from RNAcentral.